UCAAACUUGGUCAUUUAGAGGAAGUAAAAGUCGUAACAAGGUUUCCGUAGGUGAACCUGCGGAAGGAUCAUUACCAAAUUAUCCAAAACACCAACCAUAUUAUGGAUAAUUUAAUCCAUAUCCACCUUGUGUGCAUCAUAGAUCUGUUGUUGGCAGGGUUUAAGGCAUCUAUCUGCUCUUCCUGCCAAUUUUAUUCGUUUAAACAUGUCUAUAUUUACUGGUCUAAACUUAAAAACAAAAAUAAAAUAAAUACAACUUUCAACAACGGAUCUCUUGGCUCUCGCAUCGAUGAAGAACGCAGC
This 302-nucleotide unclassified non-coding RNA is filed under the name uncultured fungus. RNAcentral's name for it is "partial contains small subunit ribosomal RNA, internal transcribed spacer 1, and 5.8S ribosomal RNA". The stretch from base 1 to 73 matches the Rfam family "Eukaryotic small subunit ribosomal RNA", at positions 1759 to 1831 of the family's 1831-position model. Lineage: Eukaryota; Fungi. The record is from RNAcentral.